This 1807-nucleotide long non-coding RNA is filed under the name Sus scrofa (pig). Its description in RNAcentral is "lncRNA (ENSSSCG00050034827.1)". The record is from RNAcentral. Lineage: Eukaryota; Metazoa; Chordata; Mammalia; Artiodactyla; Suidae.
GUCAUCGCCAUCCGUCCUGGCUCAUGGUAAGGUGACCGUCUUGUUGGGGUCUUAUCUCUCUCAACAGCAGCUUAAAACGAACACACAAAAACCUUGAGGUCUUUAGGCGUUGCCUGUAAACCAUCUUAGUAAAAUGUUUGCUGUUCUGGAUCUGUGCCAUCUAAAGCAGGCUAACCUUCUUUCCGACGGAUUUCUAGAAGGGAUCGAGUCUUCCUGUCUCCUUCGGAGUGCUAUAGCAGUUCUCACUUCAGACUAAAACGUGCAAGGAUUUUGCAACUCUGGGAGACCCCAAAAUACCUGCGGGCAGACUCUAGCUUUGUUCAACAGCUCUUGAGAGAAGAUUUUUACCUUGUCAGCUGCUGUUGCAAUGACUGCCUCUUUGCCUCUGAAUUUCUAAGACAUGGUUAAUGCCUUCUAAUUUCUAGAUUUUUAAAGAUUUCUUUUUCUUUAGCUCAAUGUUUAUCCUUUUCUAUUUCCAAAAAAAGCAAAGCAAAUGCUCUUUCUUAACAGUCUUCAACCCAGCACAUACUUGGAUUUUCUUUAAGGGCAGUUAAGAUAGAGGCUUAUUGAUAUCGUCAGUGUUUUAUCUAUCAGUUCUUAGAAUAUAGAACCAGACCUGACAAGUAAUUCCAGAAAAAAAAAUCUGUAAUAGGGAAUAUUUGACUUGUAAUUUUCACUGAAGAGAAAAUUUAUGGUCAUUAAAAAAAUAAAAUUCUGAGUAUUUUUUAAUUACUCUCAAACUUGACGGUGAUUAAUGAUGAUCAUUUGUAUACUUUUAAUAUAUCGACUCAUUCUAGUUACAUACAUUAUUUCAUUAAAUACAUAAUUACCAUUUCUUUCGCAGGAAUCGUAAGGACACAGAACUACUCAGUAGUUUUCCUCUGUACAAAGCAGAUGAGCCAGGAUUUGAAACCAGUUUGCAUUAUGAUGGCCUUGGGAGUGAAGAUUGCUUACCGGGCACUUAGCGGAGGGUCAGUCAGGAUUCUCGAUGCCCUGGGAGUGUCCACUGAGAGCACGUCCAAUCGGACAGGCGAGCUUCUUCAUGUCUGACUGGAAGGCUUGGUUUCUGUGUUCCACCAACAGACCGUGAUCCAAGGAUGGAGAUUGGUGAUGCUUCUCUGCCUUGUGAUCUGAGCUGAGCAAUCGGAUUCCUCCCACAGCACCUCUGCAGGGGAGCCUCACCUAGCCACCUGAGAGAACUGCUGACAUCUCUGUUUAGUUUAGUUCUUUCCUUUUAGGAACUACUCCACACAACGCUUUCAGGAGUUCCCAGGAGAAAGACCACUGGGGACUAACUGACAUGACCUGGCUCCAUUCUAGAUGAAGUAGUAAGCUUCCUUUUCUCCCCCCACAUUUUAGGGCACACCAGAAGCAUAUGGAAGUUCCCAGUCUAGGUGUCGAACUGGAGCUGUACCUGCUGGCGUACACCAAAGCCACAGCGAUGCAGGAUCCGAGCCAUGUCAGAGACCUACACCAUAGGUCUCAGCUAUGCUGGAUCCCUAACUGAGCAAGGCUAUGGAUGGAACCUGCAUCCUAAUGGAUAUCCGUCAGCUUCAUUUCAGUUGAGCUACCAUGGGAACUUUGUCAUUUUUCUUUUUUAAAGGUUGUUUCAAUUCUGUCAAUGCAUGAUGCAUACCUCUGUAAAGUGUUUUAAACCAUUUCUGUCCCUGCUGGUCCUACUGCCUCUGAUACUGAAAUUUGCAGAUUUCUUGUACAUGAUUUCACUGGAAGUUCUGUAUUAGCCCUGAAAUGCUCUCUUUAAACCAGAUGAUUUCAUUUAUAGAAUUUAAAAUUAUUUGAAUUCUUA